CAAUGUGCUUGCUUGAUUUUUUCUUACUAUUUUUAUUUUUGCCUGAUCUAGAACUCUUCUUUCGGGAUCCGCCAAAGCAUGAAGAGAGCACUCCUGGUUUCUUAUGCUUAGGCUUGAUAGGAGGUUCAUAGCCAUACAAUGCUGUUCUAUUGAAUACGCAACCCGUACCCACGUAUACAGGACCUUGGAUGCCAUCCAAUCCUCUUAAAUUUAUAUCAAAGAAAACAGUAUUACGGUUGGCAUAUCGAUCAUUCUUAUCAAUCCCAUCAAAUCUCUGGGGAAACUGGACAUAACAAACUGAUCUUCCAAGAUUAGGAUCCAUUAGAAAACACAUUGCUUCUCUCAAUGCCCUGCUGUUGUUUAUGUAAUGAUCACAAUCAAGAUUUAACAAGAAGGGCCCAUUGGUAAGAACUGCUGAUACACGCACAAGUGCAUUCAUGGCACCAGCCUUUUUGUGAUGCUGAAAACCAGGACGCUUCUCACGAGAUACAUAUACUAGUCGUGGAAGUUCAUUACCCUCACUGUCAAAUCCUCCACUGUGGCCCAAGAAAACCUGGAUCAUUCCUGGAUGAUCUCUGAUGUUAUUUCCGGGCCAAGGUGUACCAUCUUG
RNAcentral lists this unclassified non-coding RNA (610 nucleotides) under Hevea brasiliensis (rubber tree). Lineage: Eukaryota; Viridiplantae; Streptophyta; Magnoliopsida; Malpighiales; Euphorbiaceae. The record is from RNAcentral.